RNAcentral lists this ribosomal RNA (253 nucleotides) under uncultured bacterium. RNAcentral's name for it is "partial 16S ribosomal RNA". It matches the Rfam family "Bacterial small subunit ribosomal RNA", at positions 524 to 776 of the family's 1533-position model. The record is from RNAcentral.
UACGAAGGGGGCUAGCGUUGCUCGGAAUCACUGGGCGUAAAGCGCACGUAGGCGGCUUUUUAAGUCAGAGGUGAAAUCCUGGAGCUCAACUCCAGAACUGCCUUUGAUACUGAGAGGCUUGAGUCCGGGAGAGGUGAGUGGAACUGCGAGUGUAGAGGUGAAAUUCGUAGAUAUUCGCAAGAACACCAGUGGCGAAGGCGACUCACUGGCCCGGUACUGACGCUGAGGUGCGAAAGCGUGGGGAGCAAACAGG